AGUGAACGCUGGCGGUAGGCCUAACACAUGCAAGUCGAACGGCAGCACAGUAAGAGCUUGCUCUUACGGGUGGCGAGUGGCGGACGGGUGAGGAAUACAUCGGAAUCUACUUUUUCGUGGGGGAUAACGUAGGGAAACUUACGCUAAUACCGCAUACGACCUACGGGUGAAAGCAGGGGAUCUUCGGACCUUGCGCGAUUGAAUGAGCCGAUGUCGGAUUAGCUAGUUGGCGGGGUAAAGGCCCACCAAGGCGACGAUCCGUAGCUGGUCUGAGAGGAUGAUCAGCCACACUGGAACUGAGACACGGUCCAGACUCCUACGGGAGGCAGCAGGGGGGAAUAUUGGACAAUGGGCGCAAGCCUGAUCCAGCCAUACCGCGUGGGUGAAGAAGGCCUUCGGGUUGUAAAGCCCUUUUGUUGGGAAAGAAAAGCAGCAGGUUAAUACCCCGCUGUUCUGACGGUACCCAAAGAAUAAGCAACGGCUAACUUCGUG
RNAcentral lists this ribosomal RNA (492 nucleotides) under uncultured bacterium. RNAcentral's name for it is "partial 16S ribosomal RNA". It matches the Rfam family "Bacterial small subunit ribosomal RNA", at positions 29 to 507 of the family's 1533-position model. The record is from RNAcentral.